Molecule: long non-coding RNA, 222 nt
Filed under: Elaeis guineensis (African oil palm)
Lineage: Eukaryota; Viridiplantae; Streptophyta; Magnoliopsida; Arecales; Arecaceae
Description: long non-coding RNA (EGUI_LNC071797)
Source: RNAcentral
UGAUGCUCUGCUCUAUCUCGAUGCUCUACCUGCAUCUGCUCUAUCUGCUGCAGACCUUUAGCACCCAUCAGACAUUCUCCUGAUGGCUGCCAAGGCCCCUCAUGGUUUUCUCUGCUGCUCGGCCUCUGUCUGCUCCAAGGUCUCUGUCGAUUGCUACCACCAAGCUAUGCUUUGUUUUGCCCACAGGAUUUUAAAGGCAUCAAAAAUUGGACUAUCAGAAUC